This 415-nucleotide ribosomal RNA is filed under the name uncultured Deinococcus sp. RNAcentral describes it as "bacterial SSU rRNA". It matches the Rfam family "Bacterial small subunit ribosomal RNA", at positions 355 to 774 of the family's 1533-position model. Lineage: Bacteria; Thermotogati; Deinococcota; Deinococci; Deinococcales; Deinococcaceae. The record is from RNAcentral.
UUAGGAAUCUUCCACAAUGGGCGAAAGCCUGAUGGAGCGACGCCGCGUGAGGGAUGAAGGUUUUCGGAUCGUAAACCUCUGAAUCAGGGACGAAAGGCGCUUUAAGCGAGAUGACGGUACCUGAGUAAUAGCACCGGCUAACUCCGUGCCAGCAGCCGCGGUAAUACGGAGGGUGCAAGCGUUACCCGGAAUCACUGGGCGUAAAGGGCGUGUAGGCGGGAAGUUAAGUCUGGCUUUAAAGACCGGGGCUCAACCUCGGGACUGGGCUGGAUACUGGCUUUCUAGACCUCUGGAGAGAUACUCGGAAUUUCUGGUGUAGCGGUGGAAUGCGUAGAUACCAGAAGGAACACCGAUGGCGAAGGCAGAGUAUUGGACAGAAGGUGACGCUGAGGCGCGAAAGUGUGGGGAGCGAACC